UGGGAACACUCUAAUGUUGGUGUCACCACCCGCGUCAUUUGUUUGCGGAUAAGAUAUUUAGUGAAAAGUUCUGAUACCAAAGAAUCUUGAGCAAACCACGUUACAAAAGUCAACUAUUGUAGAUUUGUAGUUGGAGAGCAUUAAUGCCUUAUAUAAUUGGAUCCUAACACUCUCUCGCUCUCUAUGUCUCUCUCUCAUCUUCAGAGUUAAAGAUGGUCUUCACCAGUGCCAUUGGUUUUCUUCUUCUGCAAACUCUUUCAUCAGCUACAAGUGAUUUCCUAUUUCCUCUUAGUCCCCUGAUCGCUCCAUUAUGUGGGCGAGUUAAGUUCAGACGAUGUGUGCAAAGGAGUGGAAUGUGGAUAGGGAACAUGCAAACCUUCUCAGAAUAGCACACUCUUGUUUGAAUGCGAUUGUGAUCCAGGUUGGAGGCAAACUCUUUCUGAUCACGAUGAGGGCUUCAAGUUUCUUCCUUGCAUAGUUCCUAAUUGUAAGAACUCUCUCUUGACCAAAAUAGAAGUUAUGUAUUCGCUGUUAUUUUCCUACGAGUUGUUCUCUGCUUGAUUUAAUUUUAAAACUGCAUUUUUUAGGAAGCGUGAAUUGUUGUGUAGUAUGUUUGUUUUGGUGACUAUUUUUUGGCUGCAUGUGGUUGAAAAAGUCUGGUAUUUGGGGAAAUUAUUUGCUACGUUACAAAGUGGAAGUGUCUGAAUCACACAAAGGGUAUAGAUUUUCUUCGCACGCAUGGAUCCUGGCAAAGUUUGUUCCUUGGAUUUAAGAUGUUAAAGUAAUAUGAAAGCAAAGAACUAAGUCAUGGAAUGACACUCUAGCAUUGCUUAAUUAAGAUAAUAAAUAUGAAGUUACUAACACAGUGUAGUUCCAUCCCAAAGUUGUAAAGUGGAGUGCUAUGUUAAAGUA
Glycine soja is the source of this 912-nucleotide long non-coding RNA. RefSeq lists it as uncharacterized. Lineage: Eukaryota; Viridiplantae; Streptophyta; Magnoliopsida; Fabales; Fabaceae. The record is from RefSeq and is a predicted model, not a curated record. The transcript is spliced from 2 exons.